This 1554-nucleotide long non-coding RNA is filed under the name Salvia miltiorrhiza (redroot sage). Its description in RNAcentral is "long non-coding RNA (SMIL_LNC006321)". Lineage: Eukaryota; Viridiplantae; Streptophyta; Magnoliopsida; Lamiales; Lamiaceae. The record is from RNAcentral.
CCCACUGUUUCGAGGAGUUUCUGAUGCAGCCCAAAUAUGGCUCGCAUAAAGGUCUCCGUACAGGUAACUGAACAUGACAUAUAUGCAAAGGUAAAUUAGCUUCACAAGUAUAAGCCAUGUUUGUUCAAAGAAACAGAGAUGGUUUCUUGUGUUUUCACCUUCCAUAGGUACAUGGAUCUGUCUUGGACCGAUAAAAGAAUCCACCUGAUAUUGCUGCAGAUCCAAGUUUGUUAAUAUUGGAGUGACUGUAUCCCAGCACGGGGAAGAUGGGAUCAAUGGAAUCUGCAGAAGUAUUGCCACCCGGAGUCUUCUGAGGCACGAAACCUUGGGGGCCUUCAUAGACGCGCCAUCCGUAGUUUCCUCCCUUGGAGAUGAUAUCAACUUCUUCAUAUUGAUCCUACAGGGGUAUCAAAAGGUAAGAAUAUAGAAAUCACUCUACAGUGGCAUAGAUAUUCAAAAAAGUUUUGUUUAUGGCAGUAACUUUGAACCUGUCCAACAUCAGCACACAUGAAGUAUGAAGGUCUCUCUGAAUCAAAGCUACACCGCCAUGGAUUUCUGAAGCCGUAAGCCCAGAUUUCCGGUUGCAUUCCUUUGUCUUCUAAAUAAGGAUUAUCUUUGGGGAUAGAAUAGUUUCCCCACAAGUCUAGUUUAGCCAUCUCAUCUUCGCCUGAGAAUUCAACACAUGAUUCUGUGAAAUUUGAGAUCAUAUGGAAAAACACAGGCUUUUAUAGGUUGUAUAUCUUGAUUACUUACUUGGAAACUUGUUGACGUCGAUCCUCAUAAUCUUCCCAAGCAGCGAUUUCUUGUUCUGAGCAAAGUUAUAGGGAUCUCCUUUACUUCCUCCAUCUCCCAACAUGAUAUACAUGUGGCCAUCAUCUGGGCCAAAGAGAAUUUGGCCACCAUGAUUUGAUGUAAAGGGUAGCCCCAAUGUGAAAAUCCUUUGUACCUCUCGUGGUCUUGCCUUGUCUGCCUAGAGAUGGAUCAUAUGUCAGCUCAACUCAGAUGCAUUAUUCAUUUUCUUGUUCUAUCUUUUUAUGUAAUGUGAUAUAGUGUUUACCAUUGAUGGGCUUGAAGCAGUUCCAUUGGCAGUGUACUCGGCAACAACGAUAUGAUAUUUGCAGACCUCUCCUGAAUCCAAGGAGCCUAACUGAGAAGGGUCACACGCGACAUCUGAAUUGCAGGCGCACCUCCCACUACAUCCCGGAGACUUCUCUUUGUCGCAGUUGAAGGAUGCGAAGAACCUCCCAUUCGUAGCAAAGUUUGGAUGAAACGCCAUUCCCAUCAUUCCAAAGCUCGUAUCCAGGUAUACUUGAUCUGUCAAGUCAACAAAGGGGCUCGAUUCAUCGACUGCCAAUACUUCACCCGAAUCCUGUUCUGGUAUGGUGGCUAACCAGAUUUUGCCCGCCAGGUUGGAGAAGAAAGCGCGGUUGGAUCCAUCAGGAUGAGCAACCAUGUUGAUGUAAGAGCCAUUGCCGAUUUUCUCAAGGCACAUGCCCUUGGUGGAGGCAGCGCGUCUGUCUUGUUAAAUGAGACGGGUUCUCCAUUGAAGCAAGG